Molecule: ribosomal RNA, 254 nt
Filed under: Carterina sp.
Lineage: Eukaryota; Foraminifera; Carterinida; Carterinidae
Description: partial small subunit ribosomal RNA
Rfam family: Eukaryotic small subunit ribosomal RNA
Source: RNAcentral
AAGGGCACCACAAGAACGCGUGGAGCAUGUGGCUUAAUCUGACUCAACGCGGAAAAUCUUACCGGGUCCGGACACACCAAGGAUUGACAGGUUCCCUUUAUUAUAAAUAUGCUAGUCCUUUCAUAAUUAUGUGAUAGGUGGUGCAUGGCCGUUCUUAGUUCGUGGAGUGAUCUGUCUGCUUAAUUGCGUAUCACUUAUAUGUAGUAAUAUAAUACUUGUAUUAUAUUACUACUUGAUAGCAACGAACGUGACCG